UAGAGAUUUGCGGGCGAUGAAUAACAAGUCCCUAUAUUUACCGUAUGUAUUGUAUUAUUCAGGAUAUCUGGAAAUUUUAUUUUAUUUUUAAUUGAGGGAAAUCUGGAAGAUUAGUUAGGGUUAGAACUUGGAAAGGAAUUUUGGGUAUGUCGAUUUUCUUCAAAUUGUUUCUUUGAAUUCUCUUCAAUUUUCAGUAUCUCAAUUGAAUGAAUCAAGGAGACGCUGAGAAUUAAGAGAGCUUCUGCACUUUCUGAUUUGCAGGAAACAACUAAGAAAUUCAAAUCUUUGAAUGAACAAGAAAAUUCUGAGGACGACUACGAUGCGUGGGAAGGUCCCCAGUCUCCAGUUAGAGGGGAAAUUGAAUACACUUUUCCAAAAAGAGACUUCACAGAGGAGCUUAAACGUCAAAAUGUUGAGGCUGCUGAACAUGCUUUGGAAUUCUACAAUAAGAAAUACCGGAAAAACUAUCAGCUUGUAGAUGCCUUGGCUAGCAAUGCCAUGUUAUACGAUACAAUUUGGAUCCACUGCUAAGGAACAAAGGACUUCUGAUGGCGAUGAGGAUUCUCCAACCAAGCUUCGUGGUAUCAAAGAUCCACCGUAUAAUUCAGUAACUAAUUGUCGAAUCUUAAAAGGUAGUGAAUCUGCUGGAUGUUCGUCAUGCGAAACCAUUAAGCAUCCAUCCCAUGGAUUUCUUUCUGAACGUAUCUUUCGUCUCGGCUCUUUACGUCCUCGCCCGGGUCGUGCUCGCUGAAUUCUGCAGUCUCAACAAUUGCUGCUUGUAAUUGGCUUAUGUAAAUCUGAUUCAACUGUCAUGUUCUAAAAUUAUGUAGACAUUGGUUGCAUAUUCUGACGUAAUGUUUAUGAUCUCUAAUGUCUUCUCAAAAGUUAAAUGCUGGGAAUUCAGUUUAUUCCAAUGGAUUUUUUUUAAAUAAGUAUUUUAUAAUUCCUUGA
Long non-coding RNA from Chenopodium quinoa (quinoa), 951 nucleotides. RefSeq lists it as uncharacterized. The record is from RefSeq and is a predicted model, not a curated record. The transcript is spliced from 6 exons. Lineage: Eukaryota; Viridiplantae; Streptophyta; Magnoliopsida; Caryophyllales; Amaranthaceae.